AGUCUAACAUGUGCGCGAGUCAUGGGGUCCAUACGAAACCCAAAGGCGCAAUGAAAGUGAAGGUCUCCUCCGGAGUACCCAGGCAGGAUCCCGGGGUUCGCUCCGGGCGCACUGCCGGCCCGUCUCAGCGGCAUCGUCCGCGAGGCGGAGCAAGAGCGCACACGUUGGGACCCGAAAGAUGGUGAACUAUGUCUGAGUAGGGCGAAGUCAGAGGAAACUCUGAUGGAGGCCCGCAGCGAUUCUGACGUGCAAAUCGAUCGUCAAACUUGGAUAUAGGGGCGAAAGACUAAUCGAACCAUCUAGUAGCUGGUUCCCUC
Molecule: ribosomal RNA, 317 nt
Filed under: Dosinia victoriae
Lineage: Eukaryota; Metazoa; Mollusca; Bivalvia; Venerida; Veneridae
Description: eukaryotic LSU rRNA
Rfam family: Eukaryotic large subunit ribosomal RNA
Source: RNAcentral